UACGUAGGGUGCAAGCGUUGUCCGGAAUUAUUGGGCGUAAAGAGCUCGUAGGCGGUCUGUCACGUCGGCUGUGAAAACCCGAGGCUCAACCUCGGGCCUGCAGUCGAUACGGGCAAACUAGAGUACUGCAGGGGAGACUGGAAUUCCUGGCGUAGCGGUGAAAUGCGCAGAUAUCAGGAGGAACACCGGUGGCGAAGGCGGGUCUCUGGGCAGUAACUGACGCUGAGGAGCGAAAGCGUGGGGAGCGAACAGG
Molecule: ribosomal RNA, 253 nt
Filed under: uncultured bacterium
Lineage: Bacteria
Description: partial 16S ribosomal RNA
Rfam family: Bacterial small subunit ribosomal RNA
Source: RNAcentral